GUCGACUCGAGUCUUCGGACUUGGGUGGCGCACGGGUGAGUAACGCGUAAAGAACUUGCCUCUUAGACCGGGACAACAUCUGGAAACGGAUGCUAAUACCGGAUAUUAUGGUUUUUUCGCAUGGAGGAAUCAUGAAAGCUAGAUGCGCUAAGAGAGAGCUUUGCGUCCCAUUAGCUAGUUGGUGAGGUAACGGCCCACCAAGGCAAUGAUGGGUAGCCGGCCUGAGAGGGUGAACGGCCACAAGGGGACUGAGACACGGCCCUUACUCCUACGGGAGGCAGCAGUGGGGAAUAUUGGACAAUGGACCACAAGUCUGAUCCAGCAAUUCUGUGUGCACGAUGACGUUUUUCGGAAUGUAAAGUGCUUUCAGUCGGGAAGAAGUCAGUGACGGUACCGACAGAAGAAGCGACGGCUAAAUACGUGCCAGCAGCCGCGGUAAUACGUAUGUCGCAAGCGUUAUCCGGAUUUAUUGGGCGUAAAGCGCGUCUAGGCGGCAAGGAAAGUCUGAUGUGAAAAUGCGGAGCUCAACUCCGUAUGGCGUUGGAAACUGCCUUACUAGAGUACUGGAGAGGUAGGCGGAACUACAAGUGUAGAGGUGAAAUUCGUAGAUAUUUGUAGGAAUGCCGAUGGGGAAGCCAGCCUACUGGACAGAUACUGACGCUAAAGCGCGAAAGCGUGGGUAGCAAACAGG
RNAcentral lists this ribosomal RNA (691 nucleotides) under uncultured Fusobacteriota bacterium. Its description in RNAcentral is "bacterial SSU rRNA". It matches the Rfam family "Bacterial small subunit ribosomal RNA", at positions 61 to 776 of the family's 1533-position model. The record is from RNAcentral. Lineage: Bacteria; Fusobacteriati; Fusobacteriota.